UGAUGCCAUUUUCAAAUAAUGUGUAUAACCGUCCGAAUUAUUGGACAUCACUUUCUAAUAUCACUUUCCAACAAAAUGCCGACAUAUCCGUGUUGCUUUUGUUCCAAUGAAGUUCGACCCAGACAACAUGCAUUACGCUGCGACGUUUGUUCACGAUGGCAACACCGCACCUGUAAUACUGGAAUCACUCAAGAGGAUUACCGGCAGAUGGUAAGGGUUGACACAGAAAUUGAUUGGACCUGUGCACAGUGCACAGUUAUCAACCAAACAGAUGCAGAUGAUGAGGGAAAUUCUUUCAAUGUGACGGCUGACUUCGACAUCCCUCAGCGUAUAGAGGAAAGGUCCAUUGUGGAGGAACCCCCCCAGGAGCAGGCCGCCACAGCUGAUGAUGAACCACACUAUCAAAUUCUUGAUGCGGUUUCUCAACGACGGAAACGAAAAUUAGUCAACAACGGUUACUCGUAUACCGUUAAGAGACAACGUGGCGAUGGUACAACGUGGUGUUGUUCCGUGAGGAACAGCAAGAUGACGUGCUCAGCCACUGUUCAGCAGACCGGCGACACCUUCGUCAACGGAACCAGGGCACACGUCCACGGACCGGAGGGCGGCAUCCAGACAACGCUUGCCGUCAAAGCGAAGAUCAAGGAAACUGCUAAAACUGACGUUUUCCAGCCGGCGAGUGCCAUUGUUGAGGGUGUCAUUAUUGACGAUGUGGAGGGCUGGCAUCACAGACUGAACCAUCGUGCCCUCGGAACAGCCCCUCCCUUUUACAAGCUGAUCCCAAUGCUGCACGAGGCCAGGCUGAUUCCGCUGAUGUGUCGGAGAGGAAGACGCGACCGCGACAGAGGAAGAUGCGACAGAGGAAGACGCGACGGCGACAGAGGAAGGCCUUUGUAGAUGUACAGGGCAAAAUCUUUCAACUGUGGGGACGCAAGCAGACCACUUCUGUAACAGUAUUGGCAUUCUUCAGCAAUGUGCGCAGCCUAGCCCGCUCACAGAGUUUGAGAAACCAGCUGGAAAGGUGCCAGCUCCACCACAAGAAGAUUAUGCCGUUCUCUUCUC
Molecule: unclassified non-coding RNA, 1062 nt
Filed under: Gigantopelta aegis
Lineage: Eukaryota; Metazoa; Mollusca; Gastropoda; Neomphalida; Peltospiridae
Description: mediator of RNA polymerase II transcription subunit 21-like, transcript variant X4
Source: RNAcentral